UACGUAGGGUGCAAGCGUUAAUCGGAAUUACUGGGCGUAAAGCGUGCGCAGGCGGUUCUAUAAGACAGAUGUGAAAUCCCCGGGCUCAACCUGGGAACUGCAUUUGUGACUGUAGAGCUGGAGUACGGUAGAGGGGGAUGGAAUUCCGCGUGUAGCAGUGAAAUGCGUAGAUAUGCGGAGGAACACCGAUGGCGAAGGCAGCCUCCUGGGCCAACACUGACGCUCAUGCACGGAAGCGUGGGGAGCAAACAGG
This 253-nucleotide ribosomal RNA is filed under the name uncultured bacterium. RNAcentral's name for it is "partial 16S ribosomal RNA". It matches the Rfam family "Bacterial small subunit ribosomal RNA", at positions 524 to 776 of the family's 1533-position model. The record is from RNAcentral.